RNAcentral lists this unclassified non-coding RNA (2396 nucleotides) under Patiria miniata (bat star). Its description in RNAcentral is "bZIP-type transcription factor MBZ1-like, transcript variant X1". The record is from RNAcentral. Lineage: Eukaryota; Metazoa; Echinodermata; Asteroidea; Valvatida; Asterinidae.
GUACAUUAGUAAUGCACGAAUCGCGAUAGGGUGACCUGUGUAGUGUACUCGUUGCACACAGUACAUGUAUGUGCAGUGUACUAUGACCGCGUGUGCUUUCAUACAAGCUUUUUUUGUGUGGUGGGGGAAUAACUGCACACGCACGCAGGCGACCCUAGGUUAUUUCGUCUGUGGUUAUUUUUGACCGCGGUCAAAAUGGCGUCUAGUCGCGCGGGAAAGGAGUCUCUUUUGUCGGACACUAAGCAAGUUUUCCCAGUCAGCGUCCAUGCAAGUGGCGGUGGGAAUGGUGACCGGACCAUCCCGGAUGAGACUGGUAACAUGGGAGGACGGAUGGGGUACAGUUUAAGAGAGGACCGCAAGCGUUCCUUCGCCGAGUUUGACGGCGCCGAAUCGGACCAUUAUCCGUACUCGGAGGAGGAAGGUGCCGGUGUGAGCCCGGCCCCGGAAUGUUCGACCCGCGCUGUGCCCUCCCUCCUGGAUUUCAGCGUCCUAAGCGAGGAAAGACCGGCCAAGCCUCGGGUCCGCAACUGGACACAUCCCGAGACCAAGACCUUGCUGGCCAUCUGGGGCGAUCCGGAGGUGCAGGUUCAUCUCAAAAGCGCUGUGCACAAUAACUGGAUCUGGGAGCGGAUUAGCGUGCUGCUCGGGCGGCGGCACGGGGAGUUCCAGCCGCCGCGUACGGCGGCGCAGUGCAAGGAGAGGCUGACCUAUCUCCGGAAGCAGUACCGGAAGACUGCUAGACUGAGGGCACGCGGCAAGUGGCCCAACGUGGGAAACAUACAGAUUUACCUGGAUGAAAUACAUACCAUUCUAGGAAAACGAACUCCAGCCAGCGCGAGGUCCACAGCGCCCUCAUCGGCGGCCCCGUCCACCACGUCCAGAGCCACAACCUCGGACCCGACGUUCCAGCCGUCCUCCACCGCGCACCAGACCCCGGCGGCUCCUCCGCAGCAAAUACCUGCCCCAUCCCUGCCGGAGGUGCCGGAGAGCGACUACGAAGAGAACGAGGAUGAGGAGGAUGGGGACCUCGAGGAAACCGAAGAAAAUGACAUACGGGACCUCUUCGCUCAGAACCAGACUCAAGGCCAGGAGAUGAAUUAUUCAGCCGGGAUGUCAGAAAACAACGAUCCCACCUACGAUCCCACCGCUGCCACCAACUCGGCCAAGCCAAGCAAGAGAGUGGCCUCCUCGCACAACCAACAGCAGCACAACUCGAAGAAAUCCCGCGGCCGUCCAAAGAGCGGCGCACCUCCGCCCAGGGACGAUUUGACUGUAGCCCAGGCCAUCACAGACGCUGUCAUGCGCUUCAUCGACCACCAGUCCCACCACCUGACAGAGCAGACCAAGCUCCUGCAGCGAUACCUCAAGUUCGAACGGGCCCGGAUGCGCUGGGAGAUGGACAUGGAGACACGAAGGAUGAAAUGGGAGGAGGAGCGGGAGAUGAGGGAAGAGGAAAGGCGGCAGAGACAGGAGGAGCUACAAGCCAAGCGAGUCUCGGACAACAGGGAGUUCAUGCUUCAGAUGGCUGUUGUCUUGGGGAACGAAGCAGCAACUGGGACUAGCCAGGACAGAGACAGUACUGAGAACUGAUAGCUGAUAGAAUCCCGUGCUCCCACCUGCCAUCUCAUUGGAUCUCAAUCGGAGUUCAAUAAUCGAGUCAUGAUGUAACAGUGCAUGAACGAUGACUUUGUUACAGUAAAUCUGAAUAGCUUGCGACUUGACUUGAGUCCGAUUGACUUGUGGUAACCUGUGACAUCUUUAUUGCAACUCAACAUACUCAAAAUGAAGCAGAACUACCUAGAACCGUUGCAUAACAGUAUUAGGACGGAUCCACAACAUAAUAGUCUCGUUGUACUUGCCAGUCAGCCAUUUUCGGUUUAUUUUAAUAUUUUUUACUUUCCGUUUUUUAUCACAUUCUCCUCCCCCAAUACACGACCUUUGACCCCUUUAGUGCCUGAAGGCUGAUGAGAUGUAGGACGCUUUGACAUGGUCUAAGUAAGUUCGCAAGAUUUAACUCUUGCCAAAUAUGGUGCUGCAUUUUCUGUCAGGAGCCUUGCUCAUUCAGAUGCAAAAGCAUACGAAGUCAUGUGAUGGUUUUGCUCGGCACCUAAAUUUGCUGAGCCGUAUUUGUUUACUUUGCAGCUUUAUGGUACUGUGCUUGCGGGUCUUGUUCCUGAAGAUUAUGCGAAUAGCAAAACGAAGGUCGUUUUCCCUGCAGUGGGUUGUUACUCAAUUCAAGCAAAGGGUAGAAGUGACUUAAUUUUGAUAUCCAACACAGUAAAGGAAAACCAAAAUUGGGCAAAUACCCGUUUAAAGAGUUUGUAAUACAUCUUUGUACUUCUUCUUGUAUUAUUGUGCCCAUCGUGUUCGUUGAAUAAACAGCCGCGUUUUAAUAA